GACAGAGGGUGCAAACGUUGUUCGGAAUUACUGGGCGUAAAGCGUGUGUAGGCGGUCUUACAAGUCAGGUGUGAAAGCCCCGGGCUCAACCCGGGAAGUGCACUUGAUACUGUCUGACUAGAGUACUGGAGAGGUUGGUGGAAUUCUCGGUGUAGAGGUGAAAUUCGUAGAUAUCGAGAGGAACACCUGUGGCGAAGGCGGCCAACUGGACAGAUACUGACGCUGAGACACGAAAGCGUGGGGAGCAAACAGG
RNAcentral lists this ribosomal RNA (253 nucleotides) under uncultured bacterium. RNAcentral's name for it is "partial 16S ribosomal RNA". It matches the Rfam family "Bacterial small subunit ribosomal RNA", at positions 524 to 776 of the family's 1533-position model. The record is from RNAcentral.